UGACGUGUCAGUGCUUGUUGUACUAGGCUUCUUCCCUCUUCCUCACGUACAUGCACAAGGCAAGUAUACAAGCACGCAAGCACAUACACACGCGGACACCAACGCCCCAUCAUCCAACAUAGAUUGUACACCGCCGUGAGAGUUUUCUCUCCAGCACGGGCAGCGCUGCCACUGCAUGACCAACGUGCUCUUGUACAUCAGUGCCUCCCCCCUCCCCCUCCCCCCUUUUUUUUUGUGGCGCCCACCGCGAUAUAUGGGAGCUCGUUCUCCCUCCCUUCCCUUUCAUUGUGUUUUAUGCUUUCUCUGCCCUUACCAGCGCCCUCUUCCCCGUCGCACGCACCGACAUCCCUUCAUACGACCUGCCCUCUUUCUGUACCUGUGCGUGCGUGUGCCUGUGGAUCGCUUAGAGCACAUCGACCGGAUCGAUCCGCGACACAAUCCUGGGCCAUUACAUCGUUCUUCUUUGCCCGUUGUUCUUCUUGCCGACUCUCUCUUUCCUUCUCCCUGCUUGUUGCCUUCCUCCCUUUCCACGACUAAUUACGCUCUCUCGCAAAGCCACACACCCAACUUGCCACCCCUGGCAUUGUCGCGUCGGUGAGCAGCCGUUCCCCCCUCUCGUUUUCCCCCUUUUUUCCCCGUUUAAAUCCGUCAACCACUUCAUCUCACCGGAGGGGAGUCGCGUGCCGAGAUGUCUGCGACACGAGACGGUCCACGCUCGCACUCUGACGGCGGCUUCGAUGGCCGCUCGCUGUUGUCAGAGCAAACGAAGCUGCUGCGGGAGUCGACGCCGGCAGACAUCAACUUUAUUCAGUUCCUUAAGCUGCGGCUGAGUGCCCAGCAGCGAGCGACUGCGCAGCGCAACUACUGGCAGCGAGUGCAGCGGGAGGCUGCGGACAGUAUGAACCCAAACACGGCGCGUUGGCAGGGGCGAGGUGGCAUCCCUGCCUCCGCAGCACCGAUAUCGACGGCCGCUGCCAGCAGCGUGGAGGGCGCAUCCUUCAGCACCUACGAUGCGGAACACGUGAUCCUAGAACACUCGACCACAUCGUUCGGCACCUUGCCAAGGCAGGAUGCGCUCAUGCGGGCGACAUCUCACGGCGCCGUGACACCCCCGACUGUGCAUCAGCACUCCUUUGAGGACUUGCCAGCUGCAGUGCUGAAGCGCCGCGGCGCGCCUGCGUCGGAGUUGACGGACUUCGUCGCCGUGUCCACGACUGAGCCGAGCGAAGACGGGAACAGCAGCCAACGGCGCCCAUCUGGCCCACUGCCGGAGGAGGACGCGUACGUGUUGGCGCCGUUUAGUACGAGUAGCUACAGCGCGGCUGCUGCGGCCGCCAUCGAUGAGCGCCCAGCGAUGGCCUGCGGCAAGCCGCAGGUCCCCGUCGACGUGGACGAGAUGAAGGACGUGGAGCUGGAGCCGUGCCCGCACUGUGGUCGCACGUUUGCUCCGGCUCGACUGGAGCGGCACGUGGCCACAUGCGAGCGACACAAAAACACAUUGCCCAAAACAAAGGGCGACAUGAAGAGCGGCAGGGCGCGCAGCGGUCGCAAGAAGCCGGACCGAACCGCAGGCGGUGAUGGUGCCGCUGCCUCUGCGGAUGCCACGGCAAACGCUCCCGGUGCCGCACCGGGUGGGCCGCAGCGCUGGCCGACCGACACAGCCUUCAAGCCAGAGAAGUGGCGGAAGCAAAGUGCGCAGUUGCGCAACGCCAUGGCCGGCGCAUCCGUCGCGGUGGACGAUGAUCGGGUGCCGUGCCCAUCAUGCGGGCGGCACUUCUCCGAUGACGUCGCGGCACGGCACAUUCCGAUUUGCAAGUCGAAGGGGGGCCGUGCGGCGUAGCGGCGCCGGCGGUGGCGCACGACAACAAAGCAAAGUGAACAUGAUGCUCAUCUACCUGUGCGCGUGUGCGUGUGCGCGUGUGCGUGUGCGUGUGCGCGUGUGCGUGUGCGUGUGCGCGUGUGCGUGUGCGUGUGCGCGUGUGCGUGCGCAAUCUGUGCAGAUCAACGCUGAUGUCGCAUGCAUUUUCUUCUGUUUUCUGUUGUUUUUCAUCUCUCUUACGUGUAGAAGGGCGCAUGUUAUACUGAACACAUCGAAGUCAUUCGUCGCCCUCCCCUUGCCUUUGCUGUGGGUUGCGGCUCACACUGAUGCAACGUGUCAGCAGUGGCUGCACGAGCAUCAUUCAUCCACGUCGACAGCAACCACUCAUCUCCUUUCCCCCUUUGCCAUACAACGCCCCACCCCUCGCACGCUCUUGUUUCUCCGUUUCUAGUAUUCCAUCUUUCACCCUCUCGUGAGACUUACAGCCUCUGCGUACGCGUACGCAUGUGUGCGUGUGUGCUCCUCCGCAUGGCCCUUCGCCUUCUCCGGGUGGUGCUGCAUUUUUUUUUUUGCGUCCUCGCCAUGUGCGAAGUACUUGAGCGUCUGCGAGUGUGGUACUUGCUAAGAGCAAGAGAAGCGAACCGCACUCGUCGUCUUGUGCGCUUGGCGAGUUAUUCUCCACUCCGCAGCGGUGUUCUCCCAACAGUGUCGAUGCACGCGUGCGUAAGAGGCGUGUUGCAUCAUCGUACCCGAUGUGGGACUGGCUGCCGUGAAGGAAAAGAGCGGGAGGCGAGCGCAAGAUCGGAGGCAUAAAACGCGCUUGGGGGUGUAUUCAAAAUGUUUUGCCUCAGCAUCGCCUUUGUCUCGACUCUGUGUGUGUGUGUGUGAGAUCGCACGUCUCCGUAUUCUCCUCCGCUCUCCCCGGUCGGCUGCCCGCAUGCUCUCUAGGGUUGAGGCCAAAGCAGGCGCCUCAUGCUCAUACUUCCAUCCACCGCGCAGUCAUCAUCGCCAGCUCAACCCCUCACCUCUUUCGCUCUUGUUGCCUUGCGGCUCCAUCGCACAUGUGCCUUCCUUUCCCCUCAG
This 2902-nucleotide unclassified non-coding RNA is filed under the name Leishmania donovani. RNAcentral's name for it is "gene:LdHU3.29.0400(CDS-product:zinc-finger_of_a_C 2HC-type_putative)". Lineage: Eukaryota; Euglenozoa; Kinetoplastea; Trypanosomatida; Trypanosomatidae. The record is from RNAcentral.